Molecule: ribosomal RNA, 497 nt
Filed under: uncultured bacterium
Lineage: Bacteria
Description: partial 16S ribosomal RNA
Rfam family: Bacterial small subunit ribosomal RNA
Source: RNAcentral
GAUGAACGCUAGCGGCGUGCCUAAUACAUGCAAGUCGAGCGAACAGAUGAGGAGCUUGCUCCUCUGACGUUAGCGGCGGACGGGUGAGUAACACGUGGAUAACCUACCUAUAAGACUGGGAUAACUUCGGGAAACCGGAGCUAAUACCGGAUAAUAUAUUGAACCGCAUGGUUCAAUAGUGAAAGACGGUUUUGCUGUCACUUAUAGAUGGAUCCGCGCCGCAUUAGCUAGUUGGUAAGGUAACGGCUUACCAAGGCAACGAUGCGUAGCCGACCUGAGAGGGUGAUCGGCCACACUGGAACUGAGACACGGUCCAGACUCCUACGGGAGGCAGCAGUAGGGAAUCUUCCGCAAUGGGCGAAAGCCUUACGGAGCAACGCCGCGUGAGUGAUGAAGGUCUUCGGAUCGUAAAACUCUGUUAUUAGGGAAGAACAAAUGUGUAAGUAACUAUGCACGUCUUGACGGUACCUAAUCAGAAAGCCACGGCUAACUACGUG